Molecule: ribosomal RNA, 485 nt
Filed under: uncultured bacterium
Lineage: Bacteria
Description: bacterial SSU rRNA
Rfam family: Bacterial small subunit ribosomal RNA
Source: RNAcentral
AUUGAACGCUGGCGGCAUGCUUUACACAUGCAAGUCGAACGGCAGCACGGGCUUCGGCCUGGUGGCGAGUGGCGAACGGGUGAGUAAUAUAUCGGAACGUGCCCAAUCGGUGGGGGAUAACGUAGCGAAAGUUACGCUAAUACCGCAUACGAUCUACGGAUGAAAGCGGGGGAUCGCAAGACCUCGCGCGAUUGGAGCGGCCGAUAUCAGAUUAGGUAGUUGGUGGGGUAAAGGCCCACCAAGCCAACGAUCUGUAGCUGGUCUGAGAGGACGACCAGCCACACUGGAACUGAGACACGGUCCAGACUCCUACAGGAGGCAGCAGUGGGGAAUUUUGGACAAUGGGCGCAAGCCUGAUCCAGCAAUGCCGCGUGCAGGAUGAAGGCCUUCGGGUUGUAAACUGCUUUUGUACGGAACGAAAAGGCUCUGGUUAAUACCUGGGGCUCAUGACGGUACCGUAAGAAUAAGCACCGGCUAACUACGUG